UCUGCCUACCAUGCGGUGCAGGAGAGAGCAGCCAAGCCGCGUGUUUUUCUCAAGGACAGCGGCACAGCCAAGGAACAGAAACAUUUGUCUGCCAAGGACAGGCUUGACACUGCCGGCUAUGCCUCUAUUGCUACCCAGACCAAAGAUGUCGGUGCCCGGAACCCUGCACAGACGCGCCCUGCACCACCGGCAUGCCCUGCGACACCGGCAUCGAUUAUUGCGAGCCUAGAGGCAGCAGCGACUCAACUUGGACGUGAACCCGUUUGUGCGCUACCCGCUCAUAGUCAUGAACUGUGUUCUCUGGGUGCUCGGCCUCUUCCUCUUUGUCGGCGGCUUGUAUGCCUACAUUGGCACAGCGACGCGGGCCAGCGUUGCCGAGCCCUCUGGGACUGUUCUCAACAUUUACAGUCAACUGGUGGUGCACGUGGAGCUGACGGUGAUGCUGGGGGGCACACUGCUAGUGCUGCUGUCCUUCUGCGGCUGCGUUGGAGCACUGCGCGAGAACACCUGUCUGCUGAACGCCUAUUCGUCGCUCAUCACUGCACUGCUACUGCUCAACUUCAUCGUGGGCCUGCUGGUGUUCUCGCUGCCCUCGCAGCUGAAGCGCAUGGUGCGCUAACACAUUGAGCACGCGUCUUGUCGUGCACUACCGGGACAGCCCCGACUUGCAGCACCUCAUUGACUCCGUACAGUGUCCCUUGAUGUGUUUAUCACAUCCGGACUUGCCGGAGUAAAAUUACACCUGAUCCCACCAGAGCAUAUGGAGUAAACCACACCUGAUCCCACCAGAGCAUACUAUGCUAGGGAUCUGCAGUGCUGCGGGCUGUCACAAAGGAGUUUCCGGGACUGGAACAGCAACAUGUACUUCAACUGCUCGCGAACUAAUCCCAGCAGUGAGCGCUGCUCGGUCCCUUACUCCUGCUGCAGGCGAAACAGCACUGAAGAGGUGGUGAACCUGAGCUGUGGUCAGGGAGUGUUGAACAGGACCGACUACGAUGCUUGGUUCACAGUGUACACUGGCAACUGUGUCGACGCAGUGCAUCGACUCAUGCGCGAAAAUGCCACCAUCAUUACGGGAGCUUGCCUCGUCUUUGUGAUCCUGCUCGCCUUUGUGCAAAUGGUCACACAGGCGCUGGUCGACGAAAUAUUCAUCAUUCGGCGAAUUUACGAGAGGGUGUAUGACCGCCUUUAUGACAUGCGUGCCAGUGCAGAGAAUACGGAACGUGUUGAAUAAACGUUUGCACGAUUGUGUGGAUAAAAUUGGGAUUAUAUGUUUAUCGUAUUUAUGAAAUCUAAUUGUAAUAGUGUUUUUUUCAGCACAGUCUUGCCUAUCUCCUUGAGGUUCUCACUGUCUUUUUUAUGCUGUAGACCUUAAACAUAACUGUACGGUACUUUGAAGAGAGGGCCUUCAUUUUUCUUAUUCAUAAAAAGUGAGCAGUGAGUUUGGUAAGAAAACAUUGUGUGAUUGCUGUGGUUACGCAUUGUAUAGGUCUCUCUCUGUGCUAGAAAGGGCUGCUGGGUGAAAUUUUGCCACAACUAUACUAGAUCGUGUAAGACAUGUAAAAGUUGACAUCUUCUAGAGCAGGUUUGAAAGUGGCACUCUUGGUGAUUGUAGGUACUUGGUUGAAGCAUUCUAUUUGCUAGCAGCACAUAACAUACCGGACCUUCAGAGGCACUGGUUACGUCUGUGUACACAAUUUGUUUAUGCUAGUUGUGUCAACCUGUGGUGCAGAGAGAGCAAGAUGCAUAAUUUCUCAUUGAGUGAAUUGAACCUUCACCGCAGUUUAUGUUCUCAAUUUAAACUGCAGUGUGCUACCUAUGACUGUAAUCUAUCACUUUGGUGAAGGUAUUGCUACGUUUGACGUGUCAGCGCCAGGACUGAAAUAAAAGGUACCACUUUUCUUUUCCCAAAAUGAGUACAACCUAAAA
Long non-coding RNA from Rhipicephalus microplus (southern cattle tick), 1929 nucleotides. Lineage: Eukaryota; Metazoa; Arthropoda; Arachnida; Ixodida; Ixodidae. The record is from RefSeq and is a predicted model, not a curated record.